GCCGUGGGGGGCCUGGACGCAGUGGCCUCCCGAAUCUCCCAGGACCCUAAUGUCGCCCGAGGAUGCUGGGAGGAACACUGAGCCGACCUCUCCGUUAGGCUGAAGAUUGCACAAACCAUGCUAAUGGCCAGCAUGGGUGGAGGGAGCGUGUGAGAUGUGUGGGGCGGCGUGCUGCAUCUCAGCCAACUCCAGGAGCCUGUUGAUGUGAUGGACUACCUUAAUUGAUUUUUGAAUGUUGAGCCAGCCUUAUGCAUGUGGGAUAAACCCCUGUUGAUCAUGCUUUGGAGGCUGGAAGUCCAGUUUCAAGGAGUCAGCAUCAUGGGAUCUGAUAAGAAGCCUCUUCCAAGUUGUAGACUGCUGAUUUCCAGUUGUAUCCUCACAUGGUGGAAUGACAGCCAGAUAAUUCUCUAGGGUCCCUUUCACAAAGGCAUUAAUCCCAUUCAUGAGGCUUCUACUCUCAU
RNAcentral lists this long non-coding RNA (461 nucleotides) under Pan troglodytes (chimpanzee). RNAcentral's name for it is "long non-coding RNA NONPTRT014439". The record is from RNAcentral. Lineage: Eukaryota; Metazoa; Chordata; Mammalia; Primates; Hominidae.